RNAcentral lists this long non-coding RNA (1493 nucleotides) under Equus caballus (horse). RNAcentral's name for it is "lncRNA (ENSECAG00000046826.1)". Lineage: Eukaryota; Metazoa; Chordata; Mammalia; Perissodactyla; Equidae. The record is from RNAcentral.
GGCCGAAGUCUUGCGGAAGGGCGGCGGAAGCUGGCCGAGGUCGUGGUGCUUCCGCUUCAAGCGUUUGGAGCGGAAAGUCGCAGAAUCUGGUAGAUACAGAUUUUUUACAAUCUGGAUUAGCCAUAUUUUAAUGCUCAAUAGUCACAUGUGGAUAGUGCCCACCGUUUUGGAGAGUGCAGUUCUGGCGGUUGCCCACCACCUCGGACUACACAGUUGAGAAGCACAGCGCUGCUGAGCAGGAUUCUGUCACUGCAGUCAGCAUCAGCGGCUGGCAACCGGAAAUCUUCCAGACCAGUCACAGAGCCAGGACCAGGAGGAAUGGCGCCUCACAUGGCAUCUCCAAGGGCCGAGGGCCCCACGAAUUUUUAGACCCUGUUUAUUCAGGAGUGGAGAGCAUUUUCUAAAAUAUUUUAAACAAUUCAUCUAUCUUGAAUUCUUUUGAGAACCCAACUCUAGAAUUCAUCAUGAUAAUAAGCUGUUAUUUUUGCCAAUAAAAACCCAUUUCUGUCACUCAUGCUAAUUAGCAAAACAUCUGGUGUUGUCAGAGAUCAAGGUGCCUAAAGUAUCUGUAGCUCCAUUUUUGGAAUGUGGCCUUUCUGGUAUGACACUAGCUAACUACCCUGGGAAUGUGGAUUCAUGAUUAUUAGAAUACUAGUAAUAAAUAAAUAAAACAAGGUAAUGUGAUAAUUAUAGCAGCUAACAUGUUGAGUACUUACUAUGUGUUAGAUACUUCAUAUGUGUUAAUUCAUUUAAGCCAUAUAUCAACCCCAUUUUGCACAUGAGGAAAGUGAUGCACAGACAGGUUAGGUAAGUUGACCAGUCAUACAGCUGGUAAUACCAUGGAGUAGUUUGCCUACAGAUUUCGUGUUCUUAACCACAGUACCAUUCUGCCACCCUAAUGUAACAGAGAGCAACAGCUUAAGGGAGAAGACAGGAGAGGAAAGGGAGUUAGAUGGACCCUCAGAGAGGGCCUCUUUAGAAAGGUGAUAUUUGAUCUGACCUCUGAAUGACAAGAAGGAGUCAGUUAUGGGGAGAUCUAUGGGCAAACCUUUCCUGGCACAGGGAACAGCAACUGUAAAGACCUCAAGGCAGGAACUAGCUUGGCAUGUUUAAGGAAGAGGAAGAGGCCAGUGUGGCUCCAGUAUAGUAAGUGAAGGAGAGAGUGGUUCAGGAGAGGUCACCGAGAGAGUGGCUGGGGCUUGAAGGUCACGUGAAGGCAUUUGGAAGCCACUGAGCAUUUUAGGGAAGAGAGUAGCAUCUAGUCUAGUGUUUUAGAAACUCACCCUGGCUAUUAUGUGGAGAAUGGAUCCUAAAGAGGGGAGACAAGUUAGGAGACAUUAGCAAUAGUUUAUGCAGGGAAUAAUUGUGACUUGCGCUAUGGGCGAAGGAGUAGAGGUGGAGUUAAGUGGCCAGAAAUAUAUUUUGAGGUAGAGUGCUAGGGACUGAACUGAGUCCCAUCCCCGGACCCCAACUGCCCUUGCCAGAUUCACAUA